RNAcentral lists this ribosomal RNA (403 nucleotides) under uncultured bacterium. RNAcentral describes it as "partial 16S ribosomal RNA". It matches the Rfam family "Bacterial small subunit ribosomal RNA", at positions 30 to 526 of the family's 1533-position model. The record is from RNAcentral.
AUUGAACGCUGGCGGCAGGCCUAACACAUGCAAGUCGAGCGAGCGGCGGACGGGUGAGUAAUGUAUGGGGACUGCCCGAUAGAGGGGGAUAACUACUGGAAACGGUAGCUAAUACCGCAUACUAUCAGCUAACCCAUAUGGGAUUAGCUAGUAGGUGAGGUAAUGGCUUACCUAGGCGACGAUCCCUAGCCGGUCUGAGAGGAUGAUCAGCCACACUGGGACGGAGACACGGCCCAAACUCCUACGGAGGCAGCAGUGGGGAAUAUUGCACAAUGGGCGAAAGCCUGAUGCAGCCAUGCCGCGUGAAUGAAGAAGGCUUUAGGGUUGUAAAGUUCUUUCAGUCGGGAGGCGUUACCGACAGAAGAAGCACCGGCUAACUCCGUGCCAGCAGCCGCGGUAAUAC